RNAcentral lists this ribosomal RNA (459 nucleotides) under uncultured bacterium. RNAcentral's name for it is "partial 16S ribosomal RNA". It matches the Rfam family "Bacterial small subunit ribosomal RNA", at positions 338 to 795 of the family's 1533-position model. The record is from RNAcentral.
CCUACGGGUGGCAGCAGUGAGGAAUAUUGGUCAAUGGGCGCGAGCCUGAACCAGCCAAGUCGCGUGAGGGAAGACGGUCCUAUGGAUUGUCAACCUCUUUUGUCGGGGAGCAAAAGACGCCACGCGUAGCGUUCCGAGCGUACCCGAAGAAAAAGCAUCGGCUAACUCCGUGCCCGCAGCCGCGGUAAUACGGAGGAUGCUAUCGUUCUCCGGAUGUAUUGGGUUAAAAGGGUGCGCAGGCGGAAGAUCAAGUCAGCGGUAAAAUUGAGGGUCUCAACCUCUUCGAGCCGUUGAAACUGGUUUUCUUGAGUGAGUGAGAAGUAUGCGGAAUGCGUGGUGUAGCGGUGAAAUGCAUAGAUAUCACGCAGAACUCCGAUUGCGAAGGCAGCAUACCGGCGCUCAACUGACGCUCAUGCACGAAAGUGUGGGUAUCGAACAGGAUUAGAUACCCUUGUAGUC